This 213-nucleotide unclassified non-coding RNA is filed under the name plant metagenome. RNAcentral's name for it is "partial contains small subunit ribosomal RNA, internal transcribed spacer 1, and 5.8S ribosomal RNA". The record is from RNAcentral.
UUUCCGUAGGUGAACCUGCGGAAGGAUCAUUCAUAAUAAGUGUUGUAUGGCACUUUUUUAAAUCCAUAUCCACCUUGUGUGCAAUGUCAGGGUUGAUUUUUCUCUCGAGAGGAUCAACCCCAAACAUCAACUAUAUCUCAACUCUUUGUCUGAAAAAUAUUAUGAAUAAAACAAUUCAAAAUACAACUUUCAACAACGGAUCUCUUGGCUCUC